UGGGGAAUAUUGCACAAUGGGCGCAAGCCUGAUGCAGCCAUGCCGCGUGUAUGAAGAAGGCCUUCGGGUUGUAAAGUACUUUCAGCGGGGAGGAAGGGAGUAAAGUUAAUACCUUUGCUCAUUGACGUUACCCGCAGAAGAAGCACCGGCUAACUCCGUGCCAGCAGCCGCGGUAAUACGGAGGGUGCAAGCGUUGUCCGGAUUUAUUGGGCGUAAAGCGAGCGCAGGCGGUUUCUUAAGUCUGAUGUGAAAGCCCCCGGCUCAACCGGGGAGGGUCAUUGGAAACUGGGAGACUUGAGUGCGGAAGAGGAGAGUGGAAUUCCAUGUGUAGCGGUGAAAUGCGUAGAUAUAUGGAGGAACACCAGUGGCGAAGGCGGCUCUCUGGUCUGUAACUGACGCUGAGGCUCGAAAGCGUGGGGAGCAAACAGG
Molecule: ribosomal RNA, 429 nt
Filed under: Chloroflexota bacterium
Lineage: Bacteria; Bacillati; Chloroflexota
Description: Chloroflexi bacterium partial 16S ribosomal RNA
Rfam family: Bacterial small subunit ribosomal RNA
Source: RNAcentral